Molecule: long non-coding RNA, 8518 nt
Filed under: Paramuricea clavata
Lineage: Eukaryota; Metazoa; Cnidaria; Anthozoa; Malacalcyonacea; Plexauridae
Source: RNAcentral
CAACCUCGUACCCAGGAUCUUUCUUUGGGAAAGACCCUGGCUGCGGCUGGUCACGUGCUUCAUCAAAAAUGUAGCGCCUGAGGGGGUGUGGGGAAAGUAUCAAAUUACAUCAACAUGCUUCCAGUGGGAUAUUCGUUAAAAACAUAGAUUUUGCGAAUUAUUACGUUCAAAAUACUUGCUAAUUUUUGUUUAUUUUCUUUGCUUUGAAUUUACAAGAACAUUGUUACAUCCUUACUUACAGUCAAGUCAAGAAACCAAGCAAAUCGUUACUCGCAGUGCUCUCUCGUGUUGUUAUUCAAUGCAUGCUCUCUUCACACUCGAGCGCGGUUAUAACAAACGUUUGUUGUAAUGUUUUUAAAAUAGGCCAUUACAUUUGUCCUUUCUUGUAAACGUUGAUACGCUUUGCACCGAUUCACUUGUUAUUACGCGUCUUGUUUAUAAGAUUUUUAAAAGAAACAGUAUUGUCUAGGACUGGCCCAAAUAUUAGCAAAUGUAAACAUUUGAUAAUAGCCGAACAGAGAAAUGUCCAUAAGCAUAGAGGAAAUUUCAGUCAUUGAUUUAUCUGGAUUUACUCCAUAAAUUCGUAUUCGGUAAUUAUAGUAAGACUUUAGCCUUUUUCUUGGUCUCUAUUAAUCAUUAUAUUGUGCUAAUAUACUAUAAUCUAUAUCACAAAUUUACAGUGUCAGAUGCGCACAGACCGUCAUUUGGCGUCAUACGAAUAGACAUAAAUUUUCGAGUUUUCUACUUCUACUAACAUUUUUAAAGUAUUCAUUGUGAAUCACCUGUUUAUCUCUAAUUCAUUAAUCAUUUGCUACUUGUAUUUAUUUGAUAGUGUCAAUGUCAUAUAGUGAAUAAUGCGUUUACACACAAGCAAUCCUGGAUAUGAUAUAGACGAUGCAAGCUGUCCAUUAAAAAAUAACGGUAUUCUAUUUCACAAAGCAAAAAUUUAAAUCUCACUUGUAUAUAUUAAGAAUGCAUAUAAAGCAAAAAAUUAAAGCUUAUUCAUGUCAAAACGAAAGCUGUUUACAAAAUUUAUAAAGGUGGUGAACACUACUAAACAGUGCUCAUUGAAAGACAUGUAUAAUAUAGUGACAUAUAAUUUGCCGUUUGACUUAUCUUUGGUGUAUGAUUUUAAUACCGUAGAUUUUCAACAGACAGCUAUACUUUGACAUAUACCAUGAUCGUUGGAUUCAGCAAUGCCAAGGGCCAAUUUUAUAGUCUUUUGACGGGCUUUAAGUUUUUUGAUGAGGCCUUUACAUAGAUCAACAAUCUGGAUACAGUUGGCGAUAUUUCGGAAAUCAAAAGAUCUCGCUAUUUCGUUGCAAUUCCACAUCUCAUCAAUAAAUAAAUUCUUUUGGUCCGAGUAUCAGGAUAAACUUUAAUACUAAAUAAAUAACAACCACACUGUUCGGUCUAGAGAUAUAUAUUUUCUUGCAGGUUUAAUCACAGUUUAAUAUUGCCACGCUGCACAAGCGGCAAGCGUGCUUUCUUUGGCAAGUCUAUAAUGAAAUCUGAUCCAACUUGCUUUAAUUGUAGCUCGACACCAGAUUAUAGAGUAGAACGUCACGACAUAAAUAUUAAUUCAAGAGUUCUCUUUAUAAUUACGAUUUCUUGUUGCAAAUUUACAGUAAAUUUCAUCACCCAAAGUUGCAAUUUUAAAACGCUACAAACACUCUCCUUUCCCACCCCUCUCACAGUUACAAUUAAAUUUACCUCCCAAAAUCUGGGAGGCACGUGACCAGCCGCAGCCAGGGUCUCUCCCAGAUGACAGACGGAGAGACCCUGGGAACGAGGUUGCGUUUGUCUAUGUUAUUAAAACAACAUUUCCAGUUGACCUUUUAUACAAUAGUACUCUGAUUUUCCAUUUAACAUACAAGCCUCUAAUCCUGGGCUAGGGUACAUUUUGAUUUACGUUGGACAAAGAUACAGUUCGGUCGGACACCAAUACACUCAGGUCGGACAAACAAUAAACCUCAGUUUCACUUUGGUCGGACAGAAUGUCCGGUGGUUUCCUUUCUACGUCGGACAAUUUCAUGAAUGGGUCGGACAAUGUCCGUGACCGACCGAUAUUUUAAGGCCUGAUAGACUCCAUUUAAUUUACAUGCUACCAUUUUACCAGUAAGAAUUUUUGAAAAUUUUGUGAUUUGAAAGCUGUUGCAUUUCAACUAUACCGAGCACAACUAUAAAUAAAUUCUUUGUACGUAUAAAAUAGGUACGCCGUACAAAUGGCAAGUUCAAAGCAUGCAUGGGCAGUGUAGGCAGUUGCGAUAUUGAAAAAAAUCGAUAUAUCGAUAUUGAAAAAAAAUAUCGAUAAUAUCGAAUUUUGUAAAUGAGAAAACGUAAUUUAGUCAACUUGCAUGUAUAUGCAUCACAAACAGUUCAAAACAGUGCAUGAAACCAGUCAUGGUACGUCUCAAAGAUUUAUUAAAACAACAGUUUAUCCGUUUAUGAAAGUUUAAAGAUAUGGUUAUAUGGUACGUUGUCUAAACUUCACCGCUGAAAACAAUAAUUGCCGAAUAAUGAGAGAUUAAGUUGUUUAGUUACAACUUUCGAUAUUUUCGAUAUGCGAAAAAUCGAAUAUUGAUAUUUUUGAAAUAUCAAUAUUUAUCGAAAAUAUCGAUAUAUCGCAACUGCCUAGGGCAGUGGCAUUUCAACUUUAUUAUUUUUCCAAGGUCUCUGUGAGACUUUGACUCAUUCACCAUGAACAAAAGCAGUACAUGUAAAAAGAAAGGCGCCGCUUUUUGGGUGUACUGUUUGUACAUGUUGAAUGGCUGGAAGUGUUGCAGGUAUCUUGGGAUAUCUAAUAAAGUUGUGAUGUUAUUUCAGUGCUGUUUCUAUANNNNNNNNNNNNNNNNNNNNAAAGAUUUAUUAAAACAACAGUUUAUCCGUUUAUGAAAGUUUAAAGAUAUGGUUAUAUGGUUUCACAGCACGUUUGUUCUCAAUUGCCGCCAUACGUACGUUGUCUAAACUUCACCGCUGAAAACAAUAAUUGUCGAAUAAUGAGAGAUUAAGUUGUUUAGUUACAACUUUCGAUAUUUUCGAUAUGCGAAAAAUCGAAUAUCGAUAUUUUUGAAAUAUCAAUAUUUAUCGAAAAUAUCGAUAUAUCGCAACUGCCUAGGGCAGUGGCAUUUCAACUUUAUUAUUUUUCCAAGGUCUCUGUGAGACUUUUACAUGUACUGCUUUUGUUCAUGGUGAAUGAGUCAAAAGAAAGGCGCCGCUUUUUGGGUGUACUGUUUGUACAUGUUGAAUGGCUGGAAGUGUUGCAGGUAUCUUGGGAUAUCUAAUAAAGUUGUGAUGUUAUUUCAGUGCUGUUUCUAUAAAGGGCAGCCUUGCUAUGGCUAUAUGCCUUAGCCUAAAAAAAUAGUGUUAUUAAACUACAUGCUAAAAGUUUCUAUUGGCUGUUAGAAUGGUGGCUUGUAAGUGGGGGUAUCUUGCUAGGAUUUGCACAUUUAAAUAUUUACAAGUGCAUUAGGUCUCUUAGGUUUUAGUUUAAGACCAACAUGAGCGAGUGAGAUAAACUCGACUAGCUUAAGAUAAGGCAUCAAGCGUGAAAUUCACGCAUUAGACCCCUCAGGAUCGGACCCCAAACCUUUUUUCAACACCAAAUGUGAAAUUACCCCAACCUUACCACAUCGUUGAAGAAUUAUGGUGGAUAUCUUGGGCAAAUGUGCAUUUUCUUGGUGGAUAUCUUGGGCAAAUGUGUAAUACCAUGAGGAAUAUCUUGGGCAAAUGUGCAUUUUCUUGGUGGAUAUCUUGGGCAAAUGUGCAAAUACCAUGAGGAAUAUCUUGGGCAAAUAUGCAAUAUGAAGGAUAUCUUGGCAAAUAUCUGGAUAAAUUGGUAUAUAUGAUUACUUGUCUUAAAUUACUAAAGAAGGAUGGUGUUGUAACGUUAGGCGAGACUUUUUUUAUUCAUUGGUUUAUGGAUCUGCCAACCGUAAAUAUUCAGAAAGUAAAAAAUAAAAUAAAAAUUUGGAUGUCAAAAAAUUUUACAAUUUUAGUUAAUUUUAAUUAAUUUGGGGUUCUGACAUGAAGAGCAUUUCAAGUGAACUUUGAGUCUAGGUACUGCUGGCUCAUGUUAUCGUUGUGACUAUCAAUAUGGAUAUUAGCCACGGUUUUUUGCUUUUUGUUUUUAAAUUGACGUUAAAAAAUUUUAUUAAGAUUAUGAAAUGUGGUUCUCAUUUAUACUCAGUUCGGUUUUUUUUAAAAAAAUUUUCCGACCUACCGACCUCUUAUUUUUAAAAGUCAAAUCCGUAAACCAAUAAAUAAAAAAAGUCUUGCCUUAGUGGAUAUUGGGUCGUUCCAGAAAAGAUCCACACUCCCCCCACGGAGGAAAUUUCUGCUGUCCGGAGGGGGAGGGGAGAAAAAAUUGUUUCUGAUAAUAGUAAAUGUAUUGGGACAUCCGAAGGGGGUAGGGGGGUUAACUUCCAAUUUCCUCUGUGUGGGUGGUAUGGAUGUUUUCUGGAAUGCCCCAUUUAUAAUAUUGAUAAAAUGGGGGUUCCCUGAGAAUUGGAACGAAGUAAGGCUGCCCGAUUAAGUGGAAACAAUAUGGCAAAUUUCAAUAUGGCGGAGUGUAACAAUCUAACAAUAUGGCGGCCUGAUAAAUCUGUAAAAAUGAUACAUGUUUAGAACAUGCAAAGAGCAAAAAAUUGUGGCAUGAACAUGUCACGAAACAUGCUUCUUACAACUACAUGCUAUGUUCAUAGGAAUUUGAAUAAGUUUUUAGUGGGGCCAAAAAAAUAUGUGGGUUUCCGGUUUCUUCUUAUAAAAACUUGGGUAGGGUAGGUCAGUUUUAAGUUUUUUUUAAACUUUUUUUAAAAUUUUGCUAACAACCGGACGCCAUUUUGUUUAGUCAGUGCUUCCACAUCCAAAGAUAAAUUUCCCAAAUAUUCCCUCGAAUUUCAAUUUUACACAAACUUUUUCCUCUAAGUGGAAACACAAGCAUGACCCAAUAAAAAAGUUUAGGGUCGGGAUUUCGACGUCCGAAAGGUAGGUAGGGUUGGGAAACCGGAAACCCACAUUUUUUUGCCUAGGCAUGAUUUUUGUUUUAUUUUCAUUUAUGAUUUUCUAUCAAUGCCCCAACUAGUUUAUAUGUAAUGUAUAACAUAUUUUGUAAUAUAGAAAAUAAUAGAGUUCAUAUAAUGUUUAUGUAUCUAAUACAACUACAUGCUGUGUUGAUAGGAAUUUGAAUAAGUUUUUAGGGUUGAAUAAGUUUUUAGUACGCAUGAUUUAGAAUUUUUGUUUUUAUUUAUGAUUUUGUAUAAAUAAUAUAUGGUUGUAAAAUUUAUAAUUGACACAUGGACUAACAGUUCCCACAACAGUAUGCAUUAUAAGUCGUUGAUCAGGAAAAUAUAAUAUUUCACAAAGUGAAAAUUCUUUGUGUACUAUUAAUAUUAAAUAUAUUUUCUUGUAACACGUUUGUGACGAGAUUGCUUUCUUUAAUAAUAGAAUAGAAACUUUAUUUCACGAGGAAAAACGUAUUAACCAUAAAAGUUAUUGAACAUACGGCCCUCGCACUAUUUUGAUAUUUGAGAGGUGCAUCUGAAUAAUUUGUCUAAAUAUUGAAAUCUGAUUUAUGUUCAUUCUGUACACAAUAACCUUUGAUAUUCCUUAUUGUGUAACUUGAUAGCGUUCACGACAAACAAAAUAUGCAAGUAUUAAAUAUAUUUUCUGCAUGAUUUCUGUGUCAUUUCUUUGCUAACUCCUUGCUCAGUGACAAAACAUACUUAAUUUUGUGAUUUAGAAAGUAGAGUUCCCAUAAAAUAUAUGUAUCUAAUACAACUACAUGCUAUGUUGAUAGGAAUUUGAAAUAAAUUUUUAGUAGGCAUGAUUUAGGAUUUUUGUUUUAUUUUUAUUUUUAUUGAGUGUUGAACAUGUUCAACGCGAGAAAUAAAUCUGGUAUUUCCAAGCACCCAUGUAUUUUUCUGUUUAUUAUAAGGACAGUCUUUGAAAAGCGAUAUUUUUUUACAGAAAGGCGAUAAUUGAAAAGCAUUUCACACGUGAGAUUAUCACUUUUAUCGGUGCUUGAAAUCUCUAUAAAGCACUGUACUGUAUAUAAUAAUAAUGUAUAAUACAUAGAUUGCAAGUUUUGUAAUAUAGACAACAAUAGAGUUUGUAUAAUGCUUAUGUAUCUAAUACAACUACAUGCUGUGUUGAUAGGAAUUUGAAUAAGUUUUUAGGGUUGAAUAAGUUUUUAGUAGGCAUGAUUUAGGAUUAUUGUUUUUAUUUAUGAUUUUCUAUAAGCGAGGGGGCAAAGCAGCAUUCUAAUACCUACAGACAGGGGGUUUUGAAGUAAAUUUUAUUUAGGGUUUUGCAUUGUUGUGCUUGUUAUGUGCAGACUAACAGUGUCCCACAGUAGUAUGAUGCAUUAUAAGUUGUUGAUCAGGAAAAUAUAAUAUUUCACAAAGUGAAAAUUCUUUGUACCUAUGUGUGUUUUAGUUACGAUGAAGUGGCUUAGGAGUAUAAGUGUUUUUCUCCAUUUUAUAAAAGUAUGCAGUAGUUUUACCGUGAUGUUUGUUUUAUUAUUUUUUUUACACAAGUAUAUAUAGUGUUAUUAAUGUUGCAAGGUUAGCGAUAAAAUGGGAAUUCCCUGUGAUUAGAACUGAAGUAAGGCUGAGCAGAGUGUAACAAUCUGCACAUUUAGAACCUGUAAAAGCAAAAAAAUGCAGCAUAAACAUACCAUGAAACAUGAUUCUCGUGACUACCUGGCAUGUUGCUACCAAUUUGAAUAAGUUGAUUUAAUUAAUGAUUUAAAGAUUUUGGUUCUAUUUUCAUUUAUGAUUUAAUUUUUAUAAAUGAGGUGGGACCCCAACUGCUUUGAGAGAUAAUGAUGUAUAAUAUAUAGAUUAUAUGUAUUUACUGUCGUUCCAAUUGAAGUGUUGCUCAAAUAUUGAUUCAAUAUGCGCUGACCAAUUCAUUUCAUCAAGUUCCUCGAGAUAUUCAUACACUUCCUAGUAUAAUUGUAAACUUCCUGUUGAAUAGUUUGAAUGCACCAAUCACCUUUGUUGUUUGUGCAACUAACCAAUCAUAAAUAGAAAGGAAGUGACCAGAAAUGAUCAAAUACUUGGAAUUAGAUCUUUCACAGGAAGUGUAUGAAUAUCUCGAGGAACUAGAUCAAAUGAAUUGGUCAGCCAGAGGUAAUGUAUUGAAUCAAUAUUUGAGCAACACUUCAAUUGGAACGACAGUAAUACAACUAUAUGGUAGGAUAGGAAUUUCAAUAAGUUUUUAGUAGGCAUGAUUUAAAGAUUUUUGUUCUAUUUUCAUUUAUGAUUUAAUUUUUAUAAAUGGGGGCCCCAACUGCUUUCAGAUAUAAUGAUGUAUAAUAUAUAGAUUAUAUGUAUUUAAUACAACUAUAUGGUAGGAUAGGAAUUUCAAUAAGUUUUUAGUAGGCAUGAUUUAGGAUUUUUGUUCUAUUUUUAUUUAUGAUUUCAUUUUUAUAAAGGGGGCCCCAACUGCUUUGAGAUAUAAUAAUGUAGAAUCAAUGGAUUAUAUAUGUAUUUAAUUAAUACAACUAUGUGGUACGAUAGGCAUUUGAAUAAGUUUUUAGUAGGCAAGAUUUAUGAUUUUUGUUCUAUUUUCAUUUAUGAUUUAAUUUUUAUUUAAUUGGUGCCCAAAUCACAGCGAGCCCAAGCGUUGAUCUGUGUUAGUGUUGUAUGUUUUUUCAGUUUAUUUAUUUUUGUGUCUUUAUAUUGCCUUUUAAUUGAAUUAUAAUACUAAAUUACACUAAUAUGUCAUAUAAUAAUAAUACUCCUAUUGUCGAACAUAUAAUAACAACAUAUAAGUUGAUUUGUAUGUUUUUCAGUUUAUUUAUUUAAGAUCUAUUAUUAGCUUAUAUAAACACACCACCUUUCGAACCUGACAGCCAGUUCGCAGGAUACACAGGUUAUUUCGCACUGAAAUAAGAAAUGUGACAAGGGAUGAAAUUACAAGACGGCGAUGUUCUAUUUUGAAGCCGUAUGUGCUUUUGUUAAAACGAAUUUUAGCUUGAAAUUCGGCUACAUGAUAUGUCCAAGGCUAAAGUACAUAGCCAUUGAAAAAUUUUGUGAAAUAAAAGCCCUAGAGUCUUAUAAAUUGCUAUAGUUUUUAAUAGCGACGUUUCGUAGCAUUAACGACUUGACUGGACCUAAUGUAUUUAAUUUUUAAUUUUAAACAUUGAAACCGUUACAGUCGACAAAAUUGGCUUCUCACCUUGAGUUGUAUUUGAGUUUGCUUCCUUGUUUAUAUAAUUGAUUCCUAAAUGUUGGUGGCGUUAUUCGACAUGACACUCAUUGAAUAAUUAUCGGUCCACUCAAGUCAGGGCAUUCAUAAUACAACAAACUUUAAGAGUUUUAUCCCUUGUCACAUAUUUAUAUUGUUGCCACCCCCUUAUUUCAAAUCCUGUGUGUAUCCUGCGAACGGGCUGUCAGGUUCUUCGAAAGGCGGUGCUUUCAUAUAAGCUAAUAAUAGAUCUUCAAUAAAUAAACUGAAAAACAUACAAAUCAACUUAUAUGUUGUUAUAUAUGUUCGACUAUAGGAGUAUUAA